This 515-nucleotide long non-coding RNA is filed under the name Piliocolobus tephrosceles (Ugandan red Colobus). RNAcentral's name for it is "lncRNA (ENSPTEG00000021560.1)". The record is from RNAcentral. Lineage: Eukaryota; Metazoa; Chordata; Mammalia; Primates; Cercopithecidae.
UGGAAGAAAGCAUUAUCCUGCCUACGUCUUGUGUCCAUACCUACAUAUAUACAUACUUGACCCUACUCUUGAUACUGCUUCUGAAUCUCUCCAGCAUAAUCCUGUCCCGAAGAAGCCUCCAGAUGCCUUCAGAAUCAAGCUAGACAUUUCCUCACUUGCAACUUGGAGUUUUUCUCAAAUACCCAAAGAGAAGACACUCACGUGAUAACAGCAUUAAAUAGUCUGCCUGUGACAAGCAAUUUGGAUUUUAUCGGAGUUAAUGCAAGGGACAUGAAAGAAGAAUGGUUUGAACCAUCUGGACCUGAGCUAAAUGCAAAUUCAGAGAAGAAUAGCAUGAUGCAGGGAAGACUUGGUACACUCGUGCUUACUAAGAGAGUCUUCUAAUGAAGGAGGUGUUACUCUCUCCAAAUGGAAUCGUCCAAGAUAGUUGCUGGACCUCCAGCAAUCCAGGAAGGUCCGCAUUCCAGGAAGAAAGAAGGAGAAAAUGGAGACAAAAUGGAAAAUAAAGUUCCUAC